RNAcentral lists this unclassified non-coding RNA (302 nucleotides) under uncultured Ascomycota. RNAcentral describes it as "sequence contains ITS1". The stretch from base 1 to 105 matches the Rfam family "5.8S ribosomal RNA", at positions 50 to 154 of the family's 154-position model. Lineage: Eukaryota; Fungi; Ascomycota. The record is from RNAcentral.
GAAAUGCGAUAAGUAAUGUGAAUUGCAGAAUUCCGUGAAUCAUCGAAUCUUUGAACGCACAUUGCGCCCCCUGGCAUUCCGGGGGGCAUGCCUGUCCGAGCGUCAUUUCAACCCUCAAGCUAUGCUUGGUGUUGGGCGUCUGUCCCGCCUCCGUGCGUGGACUCGCCCCAAAGUCAUUGGCAGCGAUCGUGCCAGCUUCUCGCGCAGCACAUUUGCGCUUCUCGAAGCUCUGGUGGAUCCGCAUCCAGGAAGCUCUUUCAUGACUUGACCUCGGAUCAGGUAGGGAUACCCGCUGAACUUAA